GCUUUUUUUGGCAGCACAUAUCCUAAAAUCAGAGUACAACAGAGAAGAUUAGUAUGGCCAUUUUAAAGGAAUAUAUGCCAGUUCAUGGAAUAUUUAAAAUAAAA
RNAcentral lists this small nuclear RNA (104 nucleotides) under Mus caroli (Ryukyu mouse). Its description in RNAcentral is "snRNA (MGP_CAROLIEiJ_G0035420.1)". The record is from RNAcentral. Lineage: Eukaryota; Metazoa; Chordata; Mammalia; Rodentia; Muridae.